Molecule: non-coding RNA, 96 nt
Organism: Schizophyllum commune H4-8
Lineage: Eukaryota; Fungi; Basidiomycota; Agaricomycetes; Agaricales; Schizophyllaceae
Source: Rfam
GCCCUGCUAGCUCAGUGGUAGAGCGUCGCACUCGUAAUGCGAAGGUCAGUCGCACUCGUAAUGCGAAGGUCAGUCGUUCAAGUCGGCUGUGGGGCA